Molecule: ribosomal RNA, 253 nt
Filed under: uncultured bacterium
Lineage: Bacteria
Description: partial 16S ribosomal RNA
Rfam family: Bacterial small subunit ribosomal RNA
Source: RNAcentral
UACGUAGGGUGCAAGCGUUAAUCGGAAUUACUGGGCGUAAAGCGUGCGCAGGCGGUUUUGUAAGUCUGUCGUGAAAGCCCCGGGCUUAACCUGGGAAUUGCGAUGGAGACUGCAAGGCUUGAAUCUGGCAGAGGGGGGUAGAAUUCCACGUGUAGCAGUGAAAUGCGUAGAGAUGUGGAGGAACACCGAUGGCGAAGGCACUUUACUGGGCUAUUACUAACACUCAGAGACGAAAGCUAGGGUAGCAAAUGGG